AGAGAGAGACAUGCGCGCAUAUCAAUAAGCGGAGGAAAAGAAACUAACAAGGAUUCCCUUAGUAACGGCGAGUGAAGCGGGAAGAGCUCAAAUUUGAAAUCUUCAAGGUUCUACCUUGACGAAUUGUAGUUUAUAGAAGUGUUUUCUGUUAGUGGAGUGGCAAAAGUUCUUUGGAAUAGGACAUCAUAGAGGGUGAGAAUCCCGUAUUUGGUCAUUCCUCCUAGCGUUGUGAUACACUUUCAACGAGUCGGAUUGUUUGGGAAUGCAGUCCAAAAUGGGUGGUAAAUUUCAUCUAAAGCUAAAUAUUGGCGAGAGACCGAUAGCGAACAAGUACCGUGAGGGAAAGAUGAAAAGAACUUUGAAAAGAGAGUUAAACAGUACGUGAAAUUGUCAAAAGGGAAGCGUUUGACACCAGUGUUGUUUUUCCGAGAAUCAAUUACGAAUGUUUUGUUUUUGAGGAGUUAUGACUUCAUCGGCUUGCUCCUUUCUUUACGAAACUUUCUUAAUGCACUUUUCGGUUAACAAGUCAACAUCAAUUUCUUUUGUUGUAAAAGGGUAUGAGGAAGGUGGCUUUCUUUUCGGAGAAAGUGUUUAUAGCCUCGUGCCUCUGCAAUCGGAGAGAUUGAGGUCUGCAGCGUAGAUCCUUCGGGGUUAGAUACAUUUGUGCUAAGUUAUAGCCUUUUCAUAGACAACUUGUUGACUAUGAUUAGUCAUUGUAGCUUACUCGCUUAUGCUAUUUUACCUACGCUUAGGAUGUUGAUAGUCACAGCGUGUAC
RNAcentral lists this ribosomal RNA (776 nucleotides) under uncultured Neocallimastigales. RNAcentral describes it as "partial large subunit ribosomal RNA". It matches the Rfam family "Eukaryotic large subunit ribosomal RNA", at positions 23 to 644 of the family's 3401-position model. The record is from RNAcentral. Lineage: Eukaryota; Fungi; Neocallimastigomycota; Neocallimastigomycetes; Neocallimastigales.